UUUAUGGCAGUAGAGCCUACAAUUUACAGAUUGUACUCCAAGAGCAACAGGAUGUUUCUUUCACAACCGAUACUGCAACUCCCCACCCCAUCCGCCCUGCAAUCUCACCGGGGAAGGCCUUGUGCACGCACGCACACACCCACACAUCUAGUCUCGUUCCCAGUCGUGUGUCUUCACUACUACCGCAGUGUAACCCUUGCAGGCGAGGUUAAUACGCAACAGAAUCUGUUCAGUCCCACCGGAGAGAGCUGAGCCUUGGUUGAGUUAUAGAUACAGUGCGUGACGAGUGCCUACUUCUGUUCUGUGGAACACAGAGCUGCCUGCCAUACAGCAUCACAUUAGAUGGGAAACAAGCCCGCGCUCAAGGGAGAAGGGAGCACACUGAGAGUGGGGUUGGAGACAAGUGACCCAGUGGCCAGAGAGUAGAAGAGGAGAGGGGAUCGUGAGACUCACCCUGGCCUGAUGCUUGAUCAUCACUGGGUAGAGCGCCAGACAGAGUGAUGCUGAGCAGGGCGGGGCAGGACAGGAGAAGGAGUGUGAAGAAAGGGGGACGGAGGAAGAGGAGUGAUCAGAGGCGUGCAACUGUAGUUUUCCAUCACCAACGCAUCACCGGGGGCACACUGCCUGCCCUCCAGGACAUCUACAGCACCCGGUAUCACAGAAAGGUCAAGAAGAUCAUCAAGGACCUCAGCCACUGCCUGUUCACCCCACUACCAUCUAGAAGGUGAGGUCAGUACAGGUGCAUCAAAGCUGGGACGGAGAGACUGAAAGAAGCUGUUUAUCUCAAGGUCAUCAGACUGUUAAAUAGUCACCACUAGCUGGCCUCCACCCAGUACCCUGUCCUGAACUUCAGUCACUAGUCGGCUACCACCCUGUUACUCUACCCUGCACCUUAGAGGCUGCUGCCCUAUGUACAUUGUCAUGGAACACUGGUCACUUUAAUAAUGUUUACACACUGUUGUACCCA
Long non-coding RNA from Oncorhynchus kisutch (coho salmon), 967 nucleotides. RefSeq lists it as uncharacterized. The record is from RefSeq and is a predicted model, not a curated record. The transcript has 3 exons. NCBI's taxonomy places the organism in Eukaryota, Metazoa, Chordata, Actinopteri, Salmoniformes, Salmonidae.